GAUGAAGAACGUAGCGAAAUGCGAUAAGUAGUGUGAAUUGCAGAAUUCAGUGAAUCAUCGAAUCUUUGAACGCACAUUGCGCCCCUUGGAAUUCCAUGGGGCAUGCCUGUUCGAGCGUCAUUUGUACCUUCAAGCUUUGCUUGGUGUUGGGUGUUUGUCCUGAGGGACUCGCCUUAAAGUAAUUGGCAGCCAGUGUUUGGUUUUGAAGCGCAGCACAAGUCGCGAUUCAAAGCUAUACGCCCGCUUCCACAAGCCUUUUUCACUUUUGACCUCGGAUCAGGUAGGGAUACCCGCUGAACUUAAGCAUAUCAAUAAGCGGAGGA
This 323-nucleotide unclassified non-coding RNA is filed under the name soil metagenome. RNAcentral describes it as "partial contains 5.8S ribosomal RNA, internal transcribed spacer 2, and large subunit ribosomal RNA". The stretch from base 1 to 120 matches the Rfam family "5.8S ribosomal RNA", at positions 35 to 154 of the family's 154-position model. The record is from RNAcentral.